UUGGACACAUUCUUGUUGUUAUUAGGUCUUUCCACUUUUCCGUGGAAAGACCUAUUGGAUUUCUUCUGAUUAUUAUUAUUUUUUUUUUUUUUUUUUCUUCCGCCUAAUUUUUUUCCUUCGCUGUUUUUUUGUUUCGCAAGAUGUCGCUUAGAUUUUUGGAAUAUGAUAUCGAACAGUUUAUACGCUUUUGAAACCAACUCUGCUUAACCGAAUACUUUCCCAAAUAAGAGUUAUCUCCCCGAACACUGUUUUUCUUGUUAUCUCUAAGGCUUCGCAACCGUAUAAGAAACCGACAAAUUUAUUUUUCCAAAUUGCUCGUUAUAUCCUCAGGAUGUUCUGUUUUAUUUUGACCGAAGCCGUAUAUAGAUUCCAUAUGAGAGUUAUCCCCCCUUUUAUGUUUGAUAUAAGAAUUUGCAUUUCUAACUGGUAAACCAUAAGUGAUAGAGACCUAGGGUCUUUUGAUUUGAGGUCCUUGGUCCAAAAAAAAUGAAAAUAAGGUCAAGGUCAAAGGUCAAGGUCAUAUUAUAAAAUUUUGAUUUUGGCUUAUUUUCACUUAUUUUUUCAAAAGCCGUAUAACUUAUCGACAAAUUAUUUUUACUAAAUUGUUAGUUGCGACAUGUGGUAACACGUAGAUUUUAGUCGAAAGAGUACGUAGACAUUUGAUGCCAGUUUUGCCCCCUUUUAUAUCUAAUAUUAGUUGUAAGGUAAUACAACUCAUUAACUAUAUAUAGUAGAGGCCUAGAGUCUUUUGAUUUGAGGUCCUUGGUUGAUGACCUCGAAAUUGAGCUCAAGGUCAUAGGUAAAUGUAACGUUCUAGAUUUUGACCUUUGCUUUUACCUCAUAUGUAUACAUGAUCAAGACUUGGGACUUUUUAAAUUAGGUUGCAAGCAAUGUGAUCUAGAAAAAGACAACCGGAAGUGACCUUUUGUAAACCGGAAGUAGCUAUAUUUUGUACUUCAUUAAUGAAAAAGUAUAUAGAACCAUAUAUUUUUGGAAUCAGUGUCACUUAAACUAUCAAACUAUACCGGAAAUAACAUCGUUUGAACCGGAAGUAAACAAUUAUCUCCCUUAUAUAUAUCUUUUUCCAUAGAAACCAUACAUUUUUGGAAUUAGCGUUCAAUAAGCUGUCAUUUGACGGUACAAUUGACAUUUAAAACCAAAUUUUAAUAUUUUCAUAUAAAAAAAAGGUCUUAACUGGUGGAAAGACCAUCAAUGGUUCUCUGAACAAUUGGUUUUUAAUUUU
Molecule: long non-coding RNA, 1243 nt
Filed under: Mytilus galloprovincialis (Mediterranean mussel)
Lineage: Eukaryota; Metazoa; Mollusca; Bivalvia; Mytilida; Mytilidae
Source: RNAcentral